AGAUCUCAGAAGUUCUGAUCUCUCAUCUCUGGAAGACUCAUCUCGAAGACUCGACUCUCAUCUCUCACCUCUCGCCCCAAAUCGAUCUCUCUGCUCUCAUCUCUCAGUCUCAGACCAGAUCUUAGAUCUUUAUUCUUUCAUCUAUCACCCCUGCCCUGACCCUCGUAUCUCUCACUCUCUGCCCUAUUGCAUUUGCCCUAACCCAAAAGCCAGCCAAAGGCCCAAAACUCCAGUCCGGCAGUCCGCUCCGCCUCCGGACGGACCUCCUCCGAUCUCCUCCGACGGUCUUAUAUCUCCGAAGUCCGAGGUAUCUACUUAUAUACUUCUUGUGAAUAGUUAUAGAACCAGAAGUAUGUGGUAUAGAAACUUGAAAAUUAAUGACCUCUGUUACUGGCCUGCAUGUUGAUGACCUGCUUCUCCUGUGCUGUAGUUAUGGUCUUAUGGAAUUAUGAUUGCUGUUGCGUUUCUUCACUGCUUCCGGCUUCUGCUGUUCUGUUGUUAUACUUGUGCUUCACCGCUAGCCUUCAGUGUCUACUGCCUAGAAUUUGUGAAAUUAUGGAUUAUGUACUGAAAAUUUGAAUCGCUUGGGCUUUGCUGGCUACAUGUUGUUGACAGUUAUACAUUUGAUUCAGUUGAUUGCUUACAAACUAUUAAAUUCGGUUAUUAUCCAAAUAACCAAAUAACUAAUUCGGUUAUUCGAUUAUCGUAUAUUUCGGUUAGUAUUUCAGAUACCUAAAACAGUUGAAUGCUUUCGGUUAUAACCGAAAAGCUAAUUCGGUUCGGAUAAUAACCGAAUGCUCACCCCACUGUAGAGGUGACAGAUAAGUUGAUUAAAUUAAUAAUAAAUAAUGGGUCGGAUAACUAAUGAAUAAUGUUUGAUGAGUUAUAAAUAGGUAUAUUUUAUGAAUAAAACUCAUCAAGUCACAUAUAACCGAGACAAGUAUAAGAAAUAAAUCAAAUUCCAAGAAUUUUAUGCCUCCACAUCAGCGCAAUGCACUCCUCACCAGGAGAGCAAAUCAUCAAAUAGAUUUCAUUAUUAUAAAAUUAAUUUCAUAAUAAAUUAGUUAAUUGAUGCUUAUACUCUCCUCUCAGCUUGCGUAUUAACAUUGUAUUGAUGAAUUACCAAAGUUAACUUCAAUUAUUUCACUUUACCCAAUUAAUUUAAUGACUUAUGAAUUUAUCUAUCUAAUUUAUUUAUUGUUAUUCAUUUAAUUUAAUUUAUUUAAAAAUUUAUUAAAAUAAAUAAAUAAUUUAUCUAUGGGGGAAUGAUCCAUAACAUCUAUUUGUUAUGGAUCACUUUUGCAUAUAUCAUCUAUACCGUCCGUUAGAUGUUAUGGAUCAAAAAGUGGCAUAUAUCAUCUAUACCGUCCGUGUAAUUAAUGAAUGGUUAAGAUCUGUUAUGUUAUGGGAACACGCUAGUAUUAUUAGCUGACGUGGUUAUACUAAAAUUAAGACCCUUAUGCCCCCAUUUAUCAGCCGAAGUCAUUAAUUAGCGGAAGGAUAUUGGAAAAGGUAACAAAGGUAAUACGCUUCUGCGAAUUGGGUAAAUUGGUUAGAACCCUAGAACAGAAAAUUCAGCAAAUCGGCGAAUGCUACAGUCUAAAUCGGCGAAUGCUACAGUCUGCGAAUUGGGUAAGGUAACAAAGGUAAUACGCUACAGUCUGCGAAUUGGGUAAAUUGGCUAGAACCCUAGAAGCAAAAUACAGCUAAUUGGCGAAUUGGGUAAUUGGUUAGAACCCUAGAAGCAAAAUACAGCAAAUCGGCAACGAGUUUGGCAUAUUUAAUCGGUAAGUUUGUUAUUAAACCUCCAAAAUCUGAAGGUGAUGCGAUUCUCCAUUAAUUCUUGGUCGAAACUAUACUAUGAAUCUCUGAUGCUAUUUUUGGUUCGGCAUAUAGGAUAUUUUUGGUUCGGCAUAUAGGAGGUCAGGAGCUUCUAGAAACUAAAUUGUAGCUGUAAUUGGCAUUGAAACUUCAACAAAGCACUAAUAAACAGGAAAAUCACAGCAAAUCAUAGGUAUGUUAUGAGUUUAUUUUAGAUUUUCGUAAAAUUGGUUCAAUACUAGAAUUUUAGGGUUAUAGUUGCACUAUACGUGGACUGUUGAUUGGGAUAUAUAUAGUGGGGGACUAGUUGUUUUGUGGAGUAAUAAGGGAGAGAAAUACAUGGCUUGAAACAUUUAUCUAUAUUAAUGAUAUAUGUUUUUUUUAGAAUGCACAUAAGAUGUUUGUAAAAGUGUCUCUUUGUGGAGUAAUAUCUCUGUUUUUUUUCAAUUUUGUACUUGCAGCUAUGAAGUUUCAUAUACAUUCUAGAUUGUUCAAAUUGUUUUACCAUCUCUAGUGAAGAACGGAGUGCAACUGAACAUAGAUGAAAUCAUCGGCAAAUAUUUACCAAUACUAAAACAAACGUUUGAUAUCACGAGUGGUGUAUCAUGUUUUAAAACUGCAGUGCUAGGCAAUCAAUGAACAAAAGAGCUGCAUAAUGAUAUUUGGAUGAUAUAAUGGAAAGACCCAAAAAAAAUAUGACAGUUGGGUUAAGAGCCUCACCUGUAAUGAAAUAUAUUCAAAGUUAAAAAAGUCAUCGAUGAUGUUGGUUCAUUUUACAAUAUACAGAUACCAGUGACUAGACCCAGAUUUGACCAUUAGAUCUGCAUUAAUCCCCUUCUCCUGUUCUGUUUAGUUUUCCCAACUAGUGUAAUCACCUUCUUUUUCUACUAUAUGAAUAGAGCUGAAUGCUUACUCUGGAACUGAAUCCGGUUUAGAAGAUGAACUAUUCUCUGCGUCUUCUCUUCUCUGCACUUGGUUAGCGGAAUUAAACAUAUCAGUUUCUUAUUCUGUUGAUGACGGUUAAUAAGUUUUGUUUGAUGAAGUAACUACUAAUUUUUUUCAUCUAUAUAUCUGAUUAAAUUCAUUUCAUAAAUUCACAGGUAUCAUUUUGUUCAUUUCCUACCUUUUUGGUUGAGAGAUUGUUCAGCAGUUCCAACAAAUCUUUUGACUCUAAAUUUGAUUGCUUCCAUACGAAUGAUAUUUGUAAACUAUUUCCAUAUUUCAAUUAGCAGCUAAAUGGGGGCAUAAGUGUCCUAAUUUUAGUAUAACCACGUCCGCUAGUAAUACUAGCGGACGGCGUGUCCCCAUAACAGAUCUCAACCAUUCAUUAAUUACACGGACGGUAUAGAUGUUAUAUGCCACUUUUUGAUCCAUAGCAAAUAGAUGCUAUGGAUCAUUCCCCUUUAUCUAUUUAAUUAUAAAUUUGUUGACACGUUAACGGUUAAUGGGCCUCUACAUCGGUCUAACGCUCAACUUGAUUUUUAGAUAUAAAAAAAAUUGAUAUUGUUUUUAAUAUUUUCAUUCAUUUAUUCCAAUCUCCACAUGAGCGAAAAGUAAAACUGAUCUCCAAGUUUUCUUCUUCUUUCUCUCCCUUUUCACCUCUCCCUCUCCUUAUGAACUCGAGAAAUCAAACCCAAUCUUCUUCCCACCCAAGCCCUAGUUGCAGAAAGGAUAAAAAAAAGAAAGUUGUGCCGCAUUAAUCACGACAUCGAUCGAGGUAAUUACGGAUAGUGGAAACCAAGAGAAAAAGAAGAAAAACAAAGCUGCCUUCAAAUUAUUCUGCCGUCGACCAAGCUGGUAUUACCCUUUACAUUUGAACUGAUACAACACAAUUUGAGAAAAUUUAAAGUCCCCAAUCCUUCUUGUUACUUCACUCAUUCUCUGAUUUGUGUGAUUUAUUGUAGUAGAACUGUUUCGCUUCACUUAUUACUCAAUUUUGAGUUACAAUGUACUUAUAUACAAAUGAGGAGUUUAUGAAUAUGGCAUCUAAAUUAUGUUUUGUGAUUUAUGGGUGGACUUUAUGUAUAAAUUGGAGAUGAUAUAGUGUGUAUAUUGUUUAUAUGGAUCGGGUUCAAUUUUGUACUCCCUCUGUCCUCAAAAACAUGUCUUCAAGUACAAUUUUUUUGUUACACAAAUCAAAUAUAAAACAUGUAUAAAGACUAGUUUACCCAAAAAAUAUACUUAAAUGAGGUCUACUACCUUUAGAGAAGACAGAGGUCCACUAUAAGUAAAAGUGGUACUUAUUUUAAUAUCUUUCAUCUACUUUAGUGUUCUUAAUUUAUGUGAAAUAUGUAUUUUGGACAUCCUUUUGAUGUUGGAGGGGAGUAAGUUUUAUUUUUAGUUAGAUUUUUUUUUAUAAAUUUUGAUGAUAAAUGAGUUUCUAUUGAAAAGAUAUUUUUACCCUUUUUUGUAUAGAACUAUUGUUUUACACUUCUUGUCGACAAUAAAGCUGAAUAUAAGAUUAUCUGAUGAUAGUACCCUUUUUGUGGUGCACAUAUAUCUCUAGUCAAAAUUAGUCCAAAGGGACAGUUUUGCACGAAAUUGAAAGUUUACCUUUGACAUUGUAAAAAUUAAAAUUUUAACGUCUAUAUAAGUAUAUUGCAAAUUUGUAUUAACAUGAGAGAGCAAUUUUGUGGUUUGCUGAUUUGCUCUUAGUUAAAGGAUUAGUUGGAGUAAGCUGCAUGACAAAGAAACUGUAGAAAGACCGUAAGGGCAACAAUAAAUAAAAGAGAAAAUAUGUAAAUAAAUUCUAUAUUACAAAGAAAAUGUAGAAAGACCGUACAGGCAACAAAAAAUAUAUAAAAGAGAAAAAGAAGAAAACAGUAUCUCUAUCUAACUUCAAAUUUCCCUUUUUAUGUUUCACCCGUUUGAAAAACUAUGGUGACUACAAAAGUUUAUGAGUAUUUAAUGGUUUUUUAUUGUCUUUUUAUAAUAGAUUUUUGGGUAUUUUUUUAACGGUUAUUUUUUGAUCUCUUAAUCAUGUAGUCUUUUUUAAGUUUUUCAUUCAUACUUUUUUCUCCCACUCUUAUUUCCAGUUCUCUUUUCCUGAUACUUACAUGCCUUCAAAAUUUUCUCCAUCAAUUUUUUAAUAAAUAAUUUUACUCUGUUACAUAUAAUUGUUUAGUUGUAGGAUAACAUGUAUAAUUGUUUGUUUGGUAGUAAUAUAUUCAUGAGCUCAUAUCCUUCAUUUUCUGGCACACGCUCGACGGCAAACCUUGUGACAACCUUUUCGCACUCUCUUUCUGUCCCUUAUUCUAUUACCCAAAAUCAUUUAAAAUAUUUCCCUCUAAUUUAUCUUUCUCCCUCCUUUUCCCUUUUCCUUCUUCUUCAUGACGAUAAUGGAAGAUUAUAGCCUUUAAUACUUUUCUUCUGCUAAAUGAUUAAACAAUAAAACUCAGCUUACCCCAAGAAGGUAGUGUAAUUUUUUUUAAAAAAGGCUUAAAAAGAGCAGCUAUACCUAUCUAUAAUAAGCGCAAAGACGACUAUCCGUUAAUGAUUCAAAAUGGGUAAUUUUUUUUAAUUUGGCUCAAGUUCUACUGAGUUGGUAACAAAUUAUCAAUUUAAAUGAACUAAAUUGACUUUAGUAUAAAUUAACUUGCGUAAAAGUAGAAUAUGAGUUAACUUCGUUUAUACGAGUCACCAAGAGUUAGGAAUGCUUUUCUCUCUCUCUCCACUAUCACUAAUAAUGGUGGACAUUCACAACAUCAUCAAUUCUGUUUCUCUCCGUAAAUUGCAUCAUCUGAUGUCGAAAUUGAACCAUCCUCUACUUCUUCUGAUCCAAACAGAAGAUGGCGAAUUCUUGCUUCUUUAAUUGAUUCCUUAAAAUAUGCUGACUGUCUAUUCUUUGGCUCAGAACUCCGACCACAACACGUCGAUGGCAAGGUAAGUAUAUAUGUAUAUAUUAAAUAUAUUCUUAUUUAUGUAUCAUAAUUUUAUCUUUUUCCCCCCUUUUUUUCAAGAUUGUUUUUUUUUAUUAUCAAGAUUGCAAGGAAGUUUACACGUACGGAACACGAACGUGGUCUAGACCACCAGGUCCUACUGUUUGCUACUCUUACUAUCUGACUAUUGGGUGGCUAUUUUUAAUUUUUAAUUUUUUUUUGGUAGAAUUUUUUUAAUUAUUGGAUGUGCGUUUGAUUCGAUAUAUUGGCAUUUCUUCUUUGGUUGGUGGACUGAAUUUGAUACCAGGGUUUAAUUUUUGCAUGAUAUUUGAUUUCGGGUUAGAUGUAAUAUUUGGAAGUUGGAACUUUUGGAGGUGGUUUCUUUUUUAAAAUAUUUGAAAUUGGGUUGGUGAUAAAUAAAAAGCUAGAAAUAAUGAACUUUUACUCGAAGUGAGGGGAACUAUUAAUGCUUUUCGGUGUUCACCGGUUUAGGGGUUGAGAAAAACAUGUGAUUUGGGUUCUGGGGGUAGGAAAUUAAAACUAUUUAGAUAGCUUAAUGAUACCUGACACACUCAC
This 6275-nucleotide long non-coding RNA is filed under the name Panax ginseng (ginseng). Its description in RNAcentral is "long non-coding RNA (PGIN_LNC005371)". The record is from RNAcentral. Lineage: Eukaryota; Viridiplantae; Streptophyta; Magnoliopsida; Apiales; Araliaceae.